CCAGUUUGUUUGGGUGAAGUCCGUCAUGGGAGAAAAAUGGGGAUCGGUUCCAGAACAGAUUAAAAUUGUCAAUGAAGUGGGUGGAGGAGGUACUGCAGAGUGAUCAAAGCCAGGAUUUCUGGCUGAGGAGGCGGCUAAAACGAUCAAUGCUAUGUGUUAAGCAUUGGAGAAGACCGGGGAGUUUUGUCGUGAUGUCGGCGACAGUUGCACCGGGGAAAGAACGAGUGAUGGCAUUGAAAAAAAAUCUUUGUUAGAACUGCUAGAGGUGCCCCCCACAACAGACUUUCCUACCAACAUAUCAGUUAAUAAUGAUGUCUAGACUUCCUAAUUUCCCAGCAAGAUACAACAUCCUGCAGGAUACUCCAGGUGUGAAACAUCCCCACCACCACCCCAGGGGGGUGGAGUGACGGUCCCCACAGAAAACAAAAGAUGACAACAUCAAAGCCCCAUUCCUUGCCCUCUGAGGGGCGGUCCUCAAGCUUAAAUGUUCAGGUUUCCCCAUGUUCUGGGUCUUUCUUGAUUCUGACCACUCAGAAGCAGAUUGACCUUUUCUUUGCAAAGAAAAUAAAACCUUGUCGGCCGGCAGAAGUCUCUAUUUCAUUCUUCACUAGCAGCAACGGGAAGAAAAACUUCCAUGACAGGAACGUAUGCAGCAAUAACUCAAAUACCUAAUAAUUAUCGUCAAAAUGUCUUCUAAUAAGUUACUCUUUACACAAUAGUCAUGUUUAUUGUGUUGCAAAUUAUAUACAUGAAACUAUGAUCUUUUUUUGUACAAAUCUGAUCUUGCUUCCAAACUUUUGGCCUGUAGUGUAGAUAUAUAUUUUUAUUUGCAUGGUUGAAAUGACUGAAAGAGAGUAAAUCAAGGUUCGAACCUUACUGGUAUCUCAGUCAGAUAUAUAUAUAUGUUUUUUUUUUUUGAAGGGACAUGAAACUUAACUUCUUAAUCCUCCAUAGAAGGGCAUGACAGAAAAAAGUUGGAGACCAACAUGUUAAUGUGUCAAUUAGAUGUUAAUAUUUUAAUCAUGCUGCAGCCAUAAUUUGAACUGUUCUCUCUAAAUAGGCAAAAGCUUCUGCCUUUUGAAUCUGCUGCACAGACUUUACAGCAGUGAACCCCAAGGAGUGCACCUGAAAUGUUUUCUCUGUUCUAGUUCAGAUCUCCUCAAUCUGAAGUCAAAUAGCUUCUAACCUUCUGAAGACUAAAGGCUCAUUUUACAUAGCUCCAUUACUGUGGUGAAAUUUGUAUUAUUCAUUCAAAAACAGCUGUUGGCUAAUAGAUCUGAUACAUCUGAAAUUACCCAAUACAGGCAUACAAAGAUCAUUUAGUUGCCAGUUACAGCUGAUUGUUCACAGCCUCUUUACUUUGGUUGAAGCUUCUUGUCAGCUCAUGUAAUUUGAGAUUUUUGCAAAACAAGCAUAAAACCAAUUUCACUAGUGUUGGGAUGCUGUGUAAAAUGUUGAUGAAAACAGAAUUUAAUAGUUUAUAGAUCUUUGCAAGCCUGUACUUGAUGACAACAUAUCAAAAGUCAGAGGUCAAAAGUUCUGGCACAAUUUCACCAACUUCCAAGGUGCUUAGAGAGAAAAGAUCUUGAAAAGAUCAAAAGAGCUCCAGCAACACUUGUAGUUGAGGAAUCAAUUUUAUUAGACCAACACAUUUCGACUUGUGGCCUCAUCAGGGUCAUUCUCAUUUCAAAUAAAAUGUCUGAAACUUGUUUCAGAAACACUGGCACAGGGACAUUUUUACCUUUUAGUGGCAUUGGUUCUUCUUUCAACUACACUUUUCAUGUUAGAAAACCAAAGACACCUGUUUCUGGAGUUUUGAAAGUGGAAUAUUGUCCCAUUCUUCCUGAUACAGCUGCUACAAAUGUUGAAAGUGGGUGAGUCAGGAUAAAUGGCAGACAGGUCAAGCACCUGGACUGGUCCAACCAUACUGUUUAUGCAGAAUGUAGUUUGGCAUUAACUUACUGUAUCAUUCAGGUUGUCUCUGAAAAUGUGAGGACUGGUCCCCAGUCCUCCAGUUUUGCUCCUCUUUGCCCUCCCUUCUCGGGCUGUCUUUCCCCCUUUAUCCACUUCGCCUGAGCGGCGCUGUAGGCUGCUCAGGAUCCCUCUCUUUACUUCCUGCAUGGGUGGCACCGCGGGAGCUGAUCACCUGCUGGAGACCUCACCUGCUGCUAAUUCCGGUCUGAUUACCUGCCUACAAGAGCCCAGGGAGGAAUCUUCUCAGUGCCGGCUGAUUGCCUGACUAAGUGGUUCGGUCACUACGUUUGUGCUGGCCUUAAGCCUCUUCUCCCCUCACGGAGAUUAUCUUGUGCUUCACUUCUUGAUGAUUGUGGUGGAUUCAUGCCCGUUUUACCCCUGGACUAACUCCUUCUCUCUUUCUCGUUUUCUCCAGGUCUCCACGAGCUCCCGCCACCACCACCAUCAUUGCCUUGUUCACUUUUGACUCACAUGUAAAUAAAAAUCACUGUUUGUCGAAAUCCUGAUCUGAUUCAGCCUCUGCUCUGGGUCCACCUAUGCACAACACCUAACAGAAAAUGGCAUUAUCUAUGUGCUGAUUUCCACCGCGAAGUCAUGUCUUUCUGCCUUUGAAUGAUAUUAUGUUCUGUAGGUGAUGAAAUCUUGAAGGUCUUUGUAAAUCUUUGCUUGGUGAUCUACUUUCCCAGCUUUACAUCAGUAAUUGUGAGUAUUAAGUUAGUAGAUGUUUCUCCAGCUGUUAUUUUUAUAAGUGUUAGAUAUUUUUUUUUAGUGCUUUGUUCUUUUUCAACAUCAGAUAUGCUGUUUGCACUCUUCUCAAUUAAAUUUGGGGUUUAAAUUACUCAAAAAGCCAUCAAAAUCUUUUUAAUCAACAUGUGCUGACUCUUCCAGAAUUGAGCUUGUGUACCUUCAGGAGAACAAGACAUCUACUUCUUUUAUAAAGUAUAAAUUUCCACACGCCUUUAAAAAUAAUCCCUAUUUUAGUAUAAACAUGUAAAAUACAGAAUUUCCUUUUGUGUUUUUCAUUAAGUUGUCAAAUUCCAAGAGUAAGUCUUGAUCUGUUGUUGUAGACUGUGAUCUUAGAAGUUAAGGCAGUCCUGAAACAUCAGUGUGGAACCUCCAGCAGAUUGUGGCUCAGCAGCACAUCCAGUUUUCCUGCUCAUUAUGUUCUUUCAAACAGAAGUGAAACUGUUUUUCUAUCACUUGACCCUCUUUUAAUAAGUGUAAAAACAGAAACACCAGCCUUGGGUUUGACUCUUCCUUUGUUACCGCUCAGGUUUAUUACUUUGAAGAGCCUCUGACAUUGAUAAGCUAGGAUUCUCAGAUGCUUAAAACAAUUAUUUGUAUUCAUAGUUUUUAAAGCAUCCAUCUUUUAGUUACACGGUGCAAAUAAGAGAGAAGACCACAGUUAAAUGGUCUAAUAAAGCUCUUUGAAAAAUGAGAGUGAAUUAUAAAUCUAAAUGUGAAAACUCUCCUCAGGGUUCUAACUAGUGAGGUAAACAAUUGUUGUGUGUAUUUGACUCUCUCUCUCUCUCUAUCUAUCUAUAUAUAUAUAUAUGUGUGUGUGUGUGUGUGUGUGUGUGUGUGUGUGUGUGUGUGUAUCUAUAUAUAUAUAUAUAUAUAUAUAUAUAUAUAUAUAUAUAUAUUUAUUUAUUUAUUUUUAUUUCUUUCUCAGCCUGAGGGCUGUCUAGUUCUCCAAGACAGGUGUUUACAAAAGUACAAUUAAAAGACAUGUACUGCAGCUAUCAAAGAAUCUGUUACUCCUCCAUGCAUAAAUCAGUGUUUGAGUGAUGGGAAUGUACUGAGGGUCGAGUUCAGGUUAGAGACAUUCAACAACAGUUACACUGGUCUACAUUAUUAUACUUUGUCUAAGAGUGUAAUCUGAGAAGAUCCUAUAAAGCCAAUGGUCAGAGCUCUAUAUUGACAGAUUUGAAUCAUAGUGGGAUAAACUGUCUAUCAUGAUUACCUUCCUUUUUUCAAAUGAUGCACUCAAUUAUGAAUAUUAUCAUUAAAGCUUGUUGUGGCUGGUGGAAUAAUUACUGUGAAUUGCCAUAUAUGUUAAAUUUAUGAAAAAUAGUACAGCCUUUGUACAGUAUGGUUUUCAUAGCUCAACAGAGAUGCCCACUUUCGGGGUCUUUGCAUCAUUACAGCUUCAAUAUUUCAUAUUUAAGUGUUAAAACAUUGGCAGCUCCUGUAAUUCUUCCUCACAGGCUUUCCAUUCAAUUUUUGUGCAUUUACAUCCUGAUCGCCUGUACUCUGCUUUUGGGCCAUGUGACAUGGUAAACUGGCACAGCUGAGAAGCUGUAUGUCGCAACACAAGUUGGCUGUGUCUUUGGCACUGUUUAAUGUUUUAACAAGCACUCACAAUUGGAAGCACUCUUUCUUGGCACUCUUUGAGGAACACACUAGUGAAGUAAACAGCCCAGAAAAGAACAACAAGCUGAGCAGCAUGCUUUUUGAAGUUUGGAGUGUAUUUGGUCGAUGCUUGGGGAACAACAUCUUGCUGCUGCUGCUGCAGGGACAUGAACUGUGAAAGGCCGCCUGGCUGUACUGUCUACUGCUGCCUGUCUACUUUCUUUCUCCCUGACAGGGCAUGUGGACUUUAUUCAGUUAGCAAACCUGACUAUUGUAGAUCUGCUCAUUGAGGAUGCAAUGAGAACAUUUAGGAGAAUAACCCCUAAAUAAGAAAUUCUGGGCAUUUUCAUGAAUCCAGAUUUGUCAGUGUUUCUUUUUUAUCUUUUAAGUCUGUGUUCUGCACUUUUUUGAUCAAAUAAAGACUAAAUGAUUUGCAAAACACCCGUUUCACUCUGAGUACCAACUUGAGGUUGGGGUUGUAGAUUUUGAUUUGUGUGACUUUUGGAUAGAUGGAUCUCUGUAUGAUCCCCUGCAGUAUAUAGUGGUGCAACUAAUACAUCGGUGUAAAAUGCAGAGAGAGUUAUUGGUUUAACACCCAAAAGAUGGCAAAUGAAGAAACAACUGCUUGCUGUGCAAAGCAUGCUUUGUAAACAGUAAAGCAGCCCACUUUUAAAUGCUUUUCCUUUGCACAAGGUUGUAAUCUAUUUAAAAGAAAAUGGUGGUGCACUGUUGAAAUGAAUUGAAAAGGCAACAAGUGGCCAGUAGAGGUGGAUGGCAUGGGCAGUGGGUCUGUCCCUACCUCACAAAUAUCAACGCAACCACAGUCUGAGGUCAACUACCAUGUGGGUACCUGGUGGAAUGGCAAAAAAAAAAAAAAUGGCACUAGAAAGAUCAGCCCUUUUGUUAGUGAGAUAUUUACAGAACAAGACAUGGACAUUUUUAAGAACAAACACUAGACUUGAAUUGAUGUCGAGUGAGGUGAAAAAAAAAGCAAGUAUGGGGCACUCACAGCAUUAAAUAACAAACUCAAUCUUUACUGCUUAGGAAAGCGGAAAUGUUGGUGGGCAACCUAGCAACAGUAAACACCAAUGAGAAGGGCUGUGAAAUUAUGGUUGUGGGUGUUGCCAGAAAAAGUGUCACACUGAUGUCAUUUUCAGCUCCAACAUCUGACUUCUGAGGCAACUAAAAUUUUAAAGCCUAUCUAGUACUUUCUAAAAUACAUUUUAACUAUUUAUAGUAGUUUAAGAAACCAGAGAAACAGAGAGGGCUUCACAUCUGCAUCAAAUUUAAUAAAUGCAAUGGGAAUCUUUCUGUAAGAUUAGAGUAUAAGGGUCAUUCCAUGUCAAUUCAACCAAGAAUCUCUACUCACGUCACAGAUUUUGAUGAAAUUUGGUGGAGUGAUUGGCCUUCAGGAGAAACUGUCAGAGCUCAAAUAUUUUUGUUCAAAGCCAUCUAAUUAGUGAGAUAGGGGCUAAGGAAUUUUUGGCUAACUAGCAUGACAUGCGUUGCAAAAGUGUUCAUAUCUCUGGAAGUAUGGCACCUAUGUAUGUUCUAUCUUUUUGUUCAUACGAUUUUUUCCCAAAUUGAACCACAAAAAAAUUAUAAAGGAACAAAAACUCAAAUUGGAAAUAGCAAAAAACGCGCGUAUUUCAAUUUUCUUCAUAUUCACACUUAAAAUAAUGGCCUUAGUCAUUUUUUUGAGGAAAAUGAGUUUUUGGCUUGAAUCAUCUCUUGAUAAUGGUGGCCAUCUAUAGUAAAAUCGACUAAAUCCUUAGUUAAAAGGAUCAUGACAUGAUCCUAAUAGGGCAGUAGCGACUCCGGCAGAAAAAAGGAAGCUGAAGGAGCCGUCACAUAACUCAACCCCACUAUUAUAUAUCAAAACACAUCAGGACAUCCUCUUCUUUCAAAUGAGACCAGUCUUACCUCACUACAACCCCUCCACUUUCAAAAAGGCAGCUGGUAAAAUUUCUACAGGAAAAGAAAAAGAAAAAAAGUAAUCAAUUUUUGUCAUUUUCAGCAGCGAAAUCGGCUCACACAUCAAAUAUUUUCCUCUGAUUGAACCACAAAAAUUUCAGUCUGGCCAACCAUAGCCCAAGCCCAAUGUUUGUACAUGCCCAUCUAUACAGCGAUGGAAUGAACCAAAUAUAAGUUUGAUUGUAUUCUGUUCAUUAUGCCAAUGUAAGACUCUCAGGCAAGGGGCGAGGGGUGAUGCAGGAAAGCUCCACCAAUUGGCUGAGAUACAAGCCUGUAGCACUGCAGCUCAAAGCCAAGUAGCUAAGACGAUGCUGAUUGCUAAAGCACGGGACCAUACCGGCAAUCUAUAGGACGCUGGGCGCAGCAAGUUAACCUGCAGGAAACCCAGCGAUAUCGGAGCGCAGCAAGAAACAACAAUAAGGAGAGAGAGAAUAAAUUAGCAGCCAUGAUAACGGUAAUCCAAGAGCCGUUCUUAUUGACUUCCAUCCUUUUAACGAAUGGGGAAAGGGGCAAGUGACAUAUGCUGUAAAGCAGUCAGUGCAUUGUUAGUUUUUUGUGUAGACCGGUUCCUCCUUAUGCAAAAGCAAUCUUCAUAAAAUUCUCAAGGUUAAAACAUUGAAACAUGUUCACGUGCCUUUAGGAAACAGAGGAAACUGAUUUAUUAUGAACUCAUAAAGAUCCCGCUGUGCACUGAAAAUGUGAUUCACAGUUAGUGCUAGACAUCAGAUAUAUUUGCUCCCCUUUGUACCUGAGCUCCAUGCAGAGAAACAUUGAAACAUUAUGACUAAGAGACACUAAAGCACCAUCGUGGAGAUUAUUACUGUCAUCAUGUCUAUGCUAAUGCACUCUUCUAUGUGGUGUUAGGCCAUGGUCUGCUACACACCCUGCAUAGGACAAGAGCCAUUCAUAAUUGAUACCCAGCGUUUAUUGCAAGCCCAGGUGUGUUGCUGGAAAUAACCACUGACCCAAUUACAGUUUGCAUCCAGCAUGCUUUGCUUAAUUUGUGCAAAAGCCAUAAUUGCUCUUGGUUUUAUAAUUCAUGAACAAGGGUGUGCAGCACUGGCAGAGCACCAGCAUCUAUUAGUCAACCACCCAUGAGUGCAUCCUCACACUGGCUGCUUUACAUGGACAAAUAGUAAACGUGUCUUUCUGCGCACACCCACACAGAGCCUGAUAGCAUAACAAGGCUAAAUGGUUGCAGAUGUUAAUGUUGUGGAUGAGAAGAUCAUGAACUUCAACUCUGGUGAGCUGGCACUUAGAGAUAUAAAUGUGUCCUGACUGUUUCUUUUUCCUACAGGUGCUGCAGAUGGAUCAACAUGUCCACUAUCAGCAGUAACAACCUUUAGAGAGGAACAGAGCUCAC
Molecule: non-coding RNA, 7663 nt
Organism: Xyrichtys novacula (pearly razorfish)
Lineage: Eukaryota; Metazoa; Chordata; Actinopteri; Labriformes; Labridae
Source: the annotation of a GenBank genome assembly